This 253-nucleotide ribosomal RNA is filed under the name uncultured bacterium. Its description in RNAcentral is "partial 16S ribosomal RNA". It matches the Rfam family "Bacterial small subunit ribosomal RNA", at positions 524 to 776 of the family's 1533-position model. The record is from RNAcentral.
UACGUAGGGGGCAAGCGUUAUCCGGAUUUACUGGGUGUAAAGGGGGCGCAGACGGCGAUGCAAGCCAGGAGUGAAAGCCCGGGGCCCAACCCCGGGACUGCUCUUGGAACUGCGUGGCUGGAGUGCAGGAGGGGCAGGCGGAAUUCCUGGUGUAGCGGUGAAAUGCGUAGAUAUCAGGAGGAACACCGGUGGCGAAGGCGGCCUGCUGGACUGCAACUGACGUUGAGGCCCGAAAGCGUGAGGAGCAAACAGG